CAUAUUUCUUGCCUCGAAUAAAAUGAUUCCGGCUAAAAGGAUUAAGAAAAUGUAAAACGGUAAUUCUUUUUAGCCCACCAGUAUAACCCACCAUUAAACCCACCGCUGAUGUGGCGUUGACAUGGGUGAACUUUUCUGUUUCGUAGGAUUUCUCUCUGCUAUGGUGUAGUUGUUUUUUCUUUCUCUGUUAUCUCUGCUGCCAUUGAAGAACAUCUAAAGAAGAACUUAAAUCCAUCAAAGAAGAAAAAGAACUACCACUAGGAACAUCAUCGAGUACAAGGACUAAAUAUUAGAGCCAGUAACUCCGAAAGAAGCAAGGAUAAAUCGUUUACGACUUAUGGGUGUGAUAUUGGAAAGAAAAACAAGAGAAGACGAGGAAUAUAUUUCAUCUCGGAUGCAGGAAAAUACUCAAAUAAAUCAUUUGAACACGUAGAACCAUGCUGGUAACCGUGGAAGAAGCAAAAUUAAAUCAGCGUAUGUGUGUGAUAUUUGAAGAGGAGAGACAAGGGAAGACGAGAAGUGCAUACCAAAAACUCGGAUUCAGGCGUUUAUUUCUAAGCAUUUUUGUGUCCAACGGAGCUAAAGAGGAAAUUUGCAAUCAGUAGUGACACUGAAAAAUCCACGACUGGAUCUAGAACAAGCGAUAAAUAAAUAAACCGUCAGAGACAUAAAAAUAAGGUUGCAAAGGUGGGGGUCAGACAUUAAUAAGGGGUGGCCGUUUUUUACGACAAUAUGAAGUUGAUGUGUAUGCAUGCUUAGAGGAAAUGAUCAACACACUGUUCGGGCUGAGUUGUAUUGCAAAUCACAAGUUGCAUUAGUAAGAGGAGACACCGAUGGAGAAACUAAUAGAAAGAGAAUUGUAUUGCCUUCUGCUUUUACAGGUAGUCCAAGAUACAUGAUAGAGCAUUAUAAAGAUGAAAUUCCAAUCUGUAGAUGUAAGGACCUAUCCGAUAUCUUUCUAACGUUCACUUGCAAUCCAAAGUGGUCUGAGAUCCAUAGUGAGCUGUACUGAUUCGUGGGCAACGUGGAGAUAAUAGACCAGAUAUUGUGAGUAGAGUUUUUAAUUUAAAUUUAAAGGAGCUGAUGAAAGAUCUCUGUGGAAGAAUCAUUUUGGGACGGUGACUGCAAGUAUGUUUUUUAGAAUUUUUUGGUAUACAUGUUAGCUUUAUA
Molecule: long non-coding RNA, 1170 nt
Organism: Papaver somniferum (opium poppy)
Lineage: Eukaryota; Viridiplantae; Streptophyta; Magnoliopsida; Ranunculales; Papaveraceae
Exons: 4
Source: RefSeq, a predicted model, not a curated record